This 401-nucleotide long non-coding RNA is filed under the name Brassica rapa (field mustard). Its description in RNAcentral is "long non-coding RNA (BRAP_LNC003149)". The record is from RNAcentral. Lineage: Eukaryota; Viridiplantae; Streptophyta; Magnoliopsida; Brassicales; Brassicaceae.
GAAUAAUGAGUUUUAUAGGGACUUUCUUGAUGUAAAAUUAUACAUUUUUUUUUUGUUUAAUGUGGUAUUUCCAUUUUUAUAUAAUUUACUACCAUUUAAAGAUAGAAGUACAUUUUAAGAUAGAUGCUUAAAUCUUAAUGUACUUUUUCCAUUUUUUAAAAUGUUUAUUUCCAUUUCUUAUAUUUUUAUUUACGUAAUAUCUAAAUUUUAUAUUUUUAAAUAGAUAUUUAAAUAUUAAUGCACUUUUUCCAUUUUUUAAAUUGUGUAUUUACUUAUAUUAUAUAUUUUACAUUUUAAGAUAGAUGUUUAAUGCUUGAUGAACUUUUUCCAUUUUUAAAAAAAUAGUGUAUUUACUUAUUAUUACAUAUAUAAUUCAUAUAUUAUAUAUUUACAUUAUUUAC